RNAcentral lists this ribosomal RNA (253 nucleotides) under uncultured bacterium. RNAcentral's name for it is "partial 16S ribosomal RNA". It matches the Rfam family "Bacterial small subunit ribosomal RNA", at positions 524 to 776 of the family's 1533-position model. The record is from RNAcentral.
UACAGAGGUCCCAAGCGUUGUUCGGAUUCACUGGGCGUAAAGGGCGCGUAGGUGGUUGUGUAAGUGAGAUGUGAAAUCCCUGGGCUUAACCUAGGAACUGCAUCUUAUACUGCAUAACUGGAGUACUGUAGAGGGUAGUGGAAUUUCCGGUGUAGCGGUGAAAUGCGUAGAGAUCGGAAGGAACACCAGUGGCGAAGGCGGCUACCUGGACAGAUACUGACACUGAGGCGCGAGAGCGUGGGGAGCAAACAGG